AGGAUGUGCAGCUAUGACAUACAACUAUCUACUGGGGCUUUGGGGGGAAAAUAAGAAAAAGAGAGGAAGACUGGUAACAGAUGUUAGCUCAGGGCGAAUCUUUCCC
Ceratotherium simum simum (southern white rhinoceros) is the source of this 106-nucleotide non-coding RNA. The record is from RefSeq and is a predicted model, not a curated record. Lineage: Eukaryota; Metazoa; Chordata; Mammalia; Perissodactyla; Rhinocerotidae.